RNAcentral lists this ribosomal RNA (301 nucleotides) under uncultured bacterium. RNAcentral's name for it is "partial 16S ribosomal RNA". It matches the Rfam family "Bacterial small subunit ribosomal RNA", at positions 509 to 807 of the family's 1533-position model. The record is from RNAcentral.
CAGUAGCCACGGUAAGACAGAGGAUGCAAGCGUUAUCCGGAAUGAUUGGGCGUAAAGCGUGCGUAGGCGGCUUCUUAAGUCGGAUGUGAAAUCCCUGAGCUUAACUUAGGAAUUGCAUUCGAUACUGGGAAGCUAGAGUAUGGGAGAGGAUGGUAGAAUUCCAGGUGUAGCGGUGAAAUGCGUAGAGAUCUGGAGGAAUACCGAUGGCGAAGGCAGCCAUCUGGCCUAAUACUGACGCUGAGGUACGAAAGCAUGGGGAGCAAACAGGAUUAGAUACCCCCGUAGUCCCUGUCUCUUAUAC